RNAcentral lists this ribosomal RNA (253 nucleotides) under uncultured bacterium. RNAcentral's name for it is "partial 16S ribosomal RNA". It matches the Rfam family "Bacterial small subunit ribosomal RNA", at positions 524 to 776 of the family's 1533-position model. The record is from RNAcentral.
UACGGAGGGUGCAAGCGUUGCUCGGAAUCAUUGGGCGUAAAGCGCGUGUAGGCGGCUUUGCAAGUCUGGUGUGAAAUCCCGGGGCUCAACCCCGGAAGUGCAUUGGAUACUGCUUAGCUAGAGGACGAGAGAGGAUGGUGGAAUUCCUGGUGUAGGGGUGAAAUCCGUAGAUAUCAGGAGGAACAUCAGUGGCGAAGGCGGCCAUCUGGCUCGUAUCUGACGCUGAGACGCGAAAGCGUGGGGAGCAAACAGG